Molecule: ribosomal RNA, 465 nt
Filed under: uncultured bacterium
Lineage: Bacteria
Description: partial 16S ribosomal RNA
Rfam family: Bacterial small subunit ribosomal RNA
Source: RNAcentral
GACGAACGCUGGCGGCGUGCUUAACACAUGCAAGUCGAACGGAAAGGCCCUGCUUGCAGGGUACUCGAGUGGCGAACGGGUGAGUAACACGUGGGUGAUCUGCCCUGCACUUCGGGAUAAGCCUGGGAAACUGGGUCUAAUACCGGAUAGGAGCCAUUUUUAGUGUGAUGGUUGGAAAGUUUUUUCGGUGUAGGAUGAGCUCGCGGCCUAUCAGCUUGUUGGUGGGGUAAUGGCCUACCAAGGCGGCGACGGGUAGCCGGCCUGAGAGGGUGGACGACCACAUUGGGACUGAGAUACGGCCCAGACUCCUACGGGAGGCAGCAGUGGGGAAUAUUGCACAAUGGGCGCAAGCCUGAUGCAGCGACGCCGCGUGGGGGAUGACGGCCUUCGGGUUGUAAACUCCUUUCGCUAGGGACGAAGCUUUUUGUGACGGUACCUAGAUAAGAAGCACCGGCUAACUACGUG